Molecule: unclassified non-coding RNA, 606 nt
Filed under: Hevea brasiliensis (rubber tree)
Lineage: Eukaryota; Viridiplantae; Streptophyta; Magnoliopsida; Malpighiales; Euphorbiaceae
Source: RNAcentral
AUGCACAGUUAUGGGCACAGCAAAAUAAUUCGGUGGAUUCCCUUGAUGCAGCUAUUAAAUUGGAGGCAUAACUGUUAUCUUCCUCUCUAUUUAACCCUUCGUCCUGGUACCAUACAAAUAGAAUGUUUACUCAGCUUUUUAUUUUUGUGAGUAAGCCCAUGUAAUGGGACUUGGGCACUAGGGCACUUGAUGGGUGACUCUUGCGGGGUUGCAUCCUCAGAAUGAGUGUGCAAAGGGGUAACAUUUGCCAUAUCUUGGAAGAAAAGAAGCAACAAUAUGCUACAUAAGAAGCUAUUUGGAACUGAAAUUAUGGUGAGAUGUACAUAAGCCUUCACAACUCACUCAAUAGCAUAGAUCAACAAAGACUUCAGAUCUAAUUUUUCUCACAUAUCUAUUUUCUGGUCCUUAGAUUGGAUGAGAUUGAAUAUAGUUGAGAUGAACUUGUUUCCCAUCAUUGUUAUAGAGUAACUGUAUAUCAAAUAAUAUAUAAAUUUUGUAUCAUCAAAUGACAUUUAGAUGUUUUAAAGUUCGUGUAAUUCCAGAAAUGCUGACGUUAGCCUUUGCGUGUGGUUCCAUAUAUUGAUAGCUUAAUAAGAGCAAGCUGCU